Molecule: non-coding RNA, 184 nt
Organism: Oryza glaberrima (African rice)
Lineage: Eukaryota; Viridiplantae; Streptophyta; Magnoliopsida; Poales; Poaceae
Source: Rfam
AAUAAACGCAACUAUGAAUUUCCGUGUCUAAUUUUGAUCGUCCGUCUUAUUUGAACUUUUUUAUGAUUAUUAAUUUUUAUGAUUAUAGUACUUUACGCGUGACUUAUGUUUUUUAGUUUUUUUAAAAAAUUUAAAUCAGACAGACGAUUAAAGUUGGACACAGAAACUAAUGGUUGCACUUAUU